This 484-nucleotide ribosomal RNA is filed under the name uncultured bacterium. RNAcentral's name for it is "partial 16S ribosomal RNA". It matches the Rfam family "Bacterial small subunit ribosomal RNA", at positions 30 to 507 of the family's 1533-position model. The record is from RNAcentral.
AUUGAACGCUGGCGGCAGGCCUAACACAUGCAAGUCGAGCGGAUGAAGGGAGCUUGCUCCUGGAUUCAGCGGCGGACGGGUGAGUAAUGCCUAGGAAUCUGCCUGGUAGUGGGGGAUAACGUCCGGAAACGGGCGCUAAUAACGCAUACGUCCUGAGGGAGAAAGUGGGGGAUCUUCGGACCUCACGCUAUCAGAUGAGCCUAGGUCGGAUUAGCUAGUUUGUGGGGUAAAGGCCUACCAAGGCGACGAUCCGUAACUGGUCUGAGAGGAUGAUCAGUCACACUGGAACUGAGACACGGUCCAGAGUCCUACGGGAGGCAGCAGUGGGGAAUAUUGGACAAUGGGCGAAAGCCUGAUCCAGCCAUGCCGCGUGUGUGAAGAAGGUCUUCGGAUUGUAAAGCACUUUAAGUUGGGAGGAAGGGCAGUAAGUUAAUACCUUGCUGUUUUGACGUUACCAACAGAAUAAGCACCGGCUAACUUCGUG